GCACAGGGAGACGCGGCUGUGUGAGAUAGCCGAGGACCCAUUCAUUGUACCGGGGCGGGCCUGACUAUUUUAGAGAGGCGAUUGUGAUCUAGCCAAGCCAAAUAUAGUCGUAGACAGGUAUUUUUAGCGUAAAGCGUCUCAUCGUAUCCACUUGGCAAAGGACGACCAAACGAUAUCUCUGAACAGGCUACUACGAUUUGUAGAUCUGUUACAAAGUCUGCUAACGAAAUUAAAUGUUAAGUAAACUGUUCAUUAUCGUUUUACAGUCAGCUGAUGUUGUUGUUUGGCUUGCUUUAGUAGAGGAUUAUUGUAAGAGUCAUGUCGCGCGAUAUGGAGACAGACGUCCACAGUGAGCACUCGACUACAGUCGAGUUAGAAGGUCUAUUUUCAACCAGCAACACGUUUGGAAGAAGGGAAUAUAACACUAGAACCGAAGCAGCAUCAGAAAGAUCAAAUCAGACAAACGGAAGAGAUUAGGGAUUACAUUUGAGGUGUGAUGACAGAGCUGUGAGUGUGAGAUGUAAUCCCUGUCUCCCUGGGUGGACACCAGUCAGACUAAGAGUGCGGCGGUAUCGCUCCUCCCGCUCCCCCAAGUGCUCCGGCAGGAAAAGGCAAGGGGAAACGGGGCACCUCUUCCCAACCGGCAUCCAGGAAAAGGGCUCGAGUCCGGGGGAGGAGCCCGGCCCCGGUGGCGUCCACCUCUAGUUCGGACCCGGUGCUGGCGGCCCUGUUGGACAUCAAAGUUUCUCUGGCUGACAUGGGAGCUCGUGUCGUCGCGUUGGAGGGCAGGUCGGCGACGGCGUUGGCUCCGCAGUUUCCUGGGUCCGGAAGCACUCCUGCGGCCUUGGACUUCGCAGCAAGGGGGCGCCGUUCCUGUCUCCCGCGGCCGGCAUUUCCGCCCAUCUGAGGAGCCAAAUUCUAGCAGGUACCGACGUCAAUCUGGUUAAGAUACUGCUAUGCUCUGCGGAUCCGGUGGACAGGCGGGUAGUCGAGUGCGGGGAAGUGUCUGUGCUCCUCAAGGGGGGUCCUCCUGUGGCUAAGGAGCAGUGGCGCUCCGCUCUACACAUAGUCGGCAUGGCGGAGUGGUGGCGUGUG
Long non-coding RNA from Hypomesus transpacificus, 1095 nucleotides. RefSeq lists it as uncharacterized. The transcript has 3 exons. The record is from RefSeq and is a predicted model, not a curated record. NCBI's taxonomy places the organism in Eukaryota, Metazoa, Chordata, Actinopteri, Osmeriformes, Osmeridae.